GUCAAGCUACAAAGGCUCACGGAGGAUACCUAUGCACUCAGAGCGAUGAAGACGUGGUUACCUGCGAUAAUCUCGGGGGAGUUGGAAGCACACUUUGAUCCGGGAAUUUCGAAUGGGGCACCUCAUGUACGGCCACUGAAUAUAUAGUUGUUGCGAGCUACCAGCGAACUGAACAUCUUACU
This 182-nucleotide ribosomal RNA is filed under the name uncultured Prochlorococcus sp. Its description in RNAcentral is "partial 23S ribosomal RNA". It matches the Rfam family "Bacterial large subunit ribosomal RNA", at positions 1 to 207 of the family's 2925-position model. Lineage: Bacteria; Bacillati; Cyanobacteriota; Cyanophyceae; Synechococcales; Prochlorococcaceae. The record is from RNAcentral.